Molecule: long non-coding RNA, 491 nt
Filed under: Olea europaea (common olive)
Lineage: Eukaryota; Viridiplantae; Streptophyta; Magnoliopsida; Lamiales; Oleaceae
Description: long non-coding RNA (OEUR_LNC003956)
Source: RNAcentral
GAGCGGACAAAGGGAAGAAUGAUAUUCAAUUUGUAAAGGUAAGCUAAGAAAUCCAAACCAGUUGUAAUAUUGCUUUCAAUUCCAUUACAAAUUUUCUCUUUCUCACGUUUUGAUGGGCAGAGUGUACGGUCUUUCGUUAAUGUAGAUGACAGACGAGUCUGCAGAAAGUGCAUUGUCUGAAACGAACUUCAAUCUUGUGUCUAUGCCUGGUUCGGGCAAAGGUUCGGACGACAAUGUCAUGCAACAGAUGGAGGACGAUGUAGUGGCAUGGCUGGAACACUGUCGAAUCGUCGAACGCAUUGAGCGUGACUAUCUCUCAUCGAAUAAGGGCCAUCGGUAUCUAUUUUCUACGUCACAAAGCGGUCAUAUACAAAAUAUGCACGUUUACCUGCAGACAUGCUUUCAGGAGUUUAGAAUGUACCCACCCAUAUUUAGGCAUUUUAUGCAUACCCUUUGAAAUUAGUACGGCUUGACAAGCAAUGCAAACAUCG